GACGAACGCUGGCGGCGUGCUUAACACAUGCAAGUCGAACGGAAAGGCCCUGCUUUUGUGGGGUGCUCGAGUGGCGAACGGGUGAGUAACACGUGAGUAACCUGCCCUUGACUUUGGGAUAACUUCAGGAAACUGGGGCUAAUACCGGAUAGGAGCUCCUGCUGCAUGGUGGGGGUUGGAAAGUUUCGGCGGUUGGGGAUGGACUCGCGGCUUAUCAGCUUGUUGGUGGGGUAGUGGCUUACCAAGGCUUUGACGGGUAGCCGGCCUGAGAGGGGGACCGGCGACAUUGGGACUGAGAUACGGCCCAGACGCCUACGGGAGGCAGCAGUGGGGAAUAUUGCACAAUGGGCGGAAGCCUGAUGCAGCAACGCCGCGUGCGGGAUGACGGCCUUCGGGUUGUAAACCGCUGUCGCCUGUGACGAAGCGUGAGUGACGGUAAUGGGUAAAGAAGCACCGGCUAACUACGUG
This 468-nucleotide ribosomal RNA is filed under the name uncultured bacterium. RNAcentral's name for it is "partial 16S ribosomal RNA". It matches the Rfam family "Bacterial small subunit ribosomal RNA", at positions 28 to 507 of the family's 1533-position model. The record is from RNAcentral.